Molecule: ribosomal RNA, 311 nt
Filed under: uncultured eukaryote
Lineage: Eukaryota
Description: partial 18S ribosomal RNA
Rfam family: Eukaryotic small subunit ribosomal RNA
Source: RNAcentral
CCCCUAGACGUUCUGGGCUGCACGCGCGCUACAAUAAUACGCACAGCGAGUAUCACCGAGCUCGAAAGGGCAAGGUAAACAAUAGAAAAGGUACUGUAAUGGUUAUAGAUCCUUGUAAUUAUUGAUCUUCAACGAGGAAUUCCUAGUAAGUAUGUGUCAUCAUCACGCACUGAUUACGUCCCUGCCCUUUGUACACACCGCCCGUCGCUCCUACCGAUUGAGUGAGCCGAUGAAACUGCCGGAUGUGGACUAUUCAUAGUCUGCGGAAGAUAUUUGAAUCGUAGCGCUUAGAGGAAGGAGAAGUCGUAACA